GUUAUAAGACGAGUCGGGAAAGUUUUUUCGCUAAGAGAUCAGUCUAUGUCCUAUCAGCUAGUUGGUGAGGUAAUGGCUCACCAAGGCUAUGACGGGUAUCUGGUUUGAGAGGAUGAUCAGACACACUGGGACUGAGACACGGUCCAGACUCUUACGGGAGGCAGCAGUGAGGAAUAUUGCACAAUGGAGGAAACUCUGAUGCAGCAACGCCGCGUGGAGGAUGACGCAUUUCGGUGUGUAAACUCCUUUUAAGAGGGAAGAUAAUGACGGUACCUCUUGAAUAAGCACCGGCUAACUCCGUGCCAGCAGCCGCGGUAAUACGGAGGGUGCAAGCGUUACUCGGAAUCACUGGGCGUAAAGGGUGCGUAGGCUGGCUUCUAAGUCAGAUGUGGAAUCCAAUGGCUUAACCAUUGAACUGCAUUUGAAACUGGGAGCCUAGAGUUCAGAAGGGGCAGAUGGAAUUAGUGGUGUAGGGGUAAAAUCCGUAGAUAUCACUAGGAAUAUCAAAAGCGA
Molecule: ribosomal RNA, 513 nt
Filed under: uncultured Campylobacterota bacterium
Lineage: Bacteria; Pseudomonadati; Campylobacterota
Description: bacterial SSU rRNA
Rfam family: Bacterial small subunit ribosomal RNA
Source: RNAcentral